CAGCACUCCAGGUCCCCGGCUGCACAUUACGUAGCCCCCUGCCCUGCCCCUGGCCAAGUGGAACGCUCUGAAGCGUGUGGAAGAACCCAGUUGUGGUUUGGCCUCCUCCUGGCUCUUCCACAUGGGCGCAAGGCACAGAGCCCCAGCCCAGGGGGCCAUGAGAGGGCAGCAAGACACUUUCCCUGUUGCCUCAGACCCCAUUACCCUUAGGUUCCUGCAGUCUACACAGGCAGUCCUCACUCACACCCACGGCCUGUCCUUGUGAGAGGGUUAGAACCCGGUCAUCCCCCUGCAGCAGCUCAGUGCCUUGAAUCCCAGCUUUUCUGUUUCCUGAUGGAAAUGCAUACCUAAAAAGGCCAUUGAUCCUCGAGAGUGGGUUUCAUUGCAGUUGAUGUGCGUGUUGCUGUCUCCACUGUGUUACGUUGCCGAGGCGGGAAUGGGGUACAAGUGUGCGUCAGAUAGCUAGUUAAGCGUGUGAAAAGCCUUCUUAAACAGAAACAGGGGAACACUGACAAUGUGACCUGCAAAUGCAGGCUCCGCUCAGCCCUUGAUGGAGUGAGGUCACCCUGGGUAUCUUCAGUAACAGAGCCACAGGGUUCACCUGAAGUCGUUCUCCCUGUGAGGAGUGUCACCAGCUUUGUCGAGCCGUGAGGACCCUGCCAGGCGAAUGUCCUGAUAGCCCUUGUAAGCACCAUACAGACAAACCCCACCAUCCAGCUCAGGGGUCCCACUCACUUUCUUCCCUUUCCAUGGUUUUCACAGAGGCCUGUGUUCUGCCCACCCCACCCUGCAAAUUCCUCUCCAGGCCAUGGUAGGCCAGCCUACUGAGGGGCGGAACAAUUCUGGAGGUUUCCAUGACACUGGUCUGGGGGUGGGGAUGGGAGAUGGAAGUCCCCUCUGGGUGAAUAUUUUCUGCCUCCAGUUAGAGGGUGGGCUGCUUGAGGUGACAACCCCCAACUCUGCUCUGAACUGUUCAGAUCAGCCAUACCCAGGAGAACCAGCUAAAUUAUUUUGGUUUAAAUACACGAUAUUCCAUCAAUUCAUUAGAAUUGAAUUUUCAGGGGACUGUGCAAAGGCUUCUACCUGGCCACCAUGCUGCAAUAAGAGAUUUAUGUCCUCUGUGUCUGGUCUGAACACCACCCAGGCCCACUUAGUAAAGCGGAGCCUGGGUCAUCUUGCUCCUCUUGUGCCCAAGUCCUCUCCUACUCUGACUAUGCUAGUGGCAUGGGAUCCCCAAGAGUCUGUAUGCGUGAAGGAGAAAAAAAUAAAUGUUUGCUUGAAAAUACUGUG
Molecule: long non-coding RNA, 1290 nt
Filed under: Rattus norvegicus (Norway rat)
Lineage: Eukaryota; Metazoa; Chordata; Mammalia; Rodentia; Muridae
Description: long non-coding RNA NONRATT012341
Source: RNAcentral